CAGGAACUUUUCUGCAAUUCAACAGAACAGACUCUGCUGCAGGAACUUCUUUUAUUUUAAGGAUAAAUUUUCUAACAGUGUAGCAGCUCCUUGCAUUCCCUGAAAGCUGCCCAGCAAAUGGGAUUCGAUCGAAGAGAUUCACCAUUAGGGGUACGAGAGAGUUCUGGCUUACUCAAACGCGAUACUCCGACUAGUGGGAACAUGCCUUUUAAAUACUGCCCUCAUCUUCGGGCCGAAAACAGUAUACCAGUAGCGUAUACGUACGUAGCGAAUAAUGAGCUGAGCGAGAGAGAAGUCAAUCUUCCGCCUGAACUCGUCCGUCUGCGAUCAAGAUGGACGUUCCGUAUAUAGAUCCUGCUUUCGGGACGUCCGCUCCCAGAUAAGCAACACUCUCGGCUUAUACCCAUCAGUAAAGAAGUCUCGAACUUUAUCGGUUUGCCGCUCAAGACUUUGAGGAUUUUUUGUGCAUCCCUUCGGCCCCGGACGUUGCUUUCCGUGUCGGGGAUGCGGGAGCGAGGAAGACUAGAUCGGGCCGUAACCCUCGCCGCGGCACUGGUUACCACUCAGCCGACUAUCAGCUUACAGUUGCAGCGCUGGACGUGGCCGCCCGGAGCGGUAUGGUUUUCGCGAUGUACUAGGAGUAUCUGAUAUCCGCUCGUAGUGAAGCUGAGCGGCUUGGACUGAGUCUCUACCAAUGACAAGAACUUUUUGCUAGAGUCACAAAAUCGCUGAUCUCCAGUAUGAGCAAGCAGCAAUCAACACUGCUAUGCACAAGGGCAAGGAGGGCUAAAGACUAGAUGCUCUCAAGAUGAUUGAGAAAGGGGCAGCUACUGAGCUGGACUUCUCAUUCUCAAUAAGCUUCCUUGCGAAGGUAAGGACUUGUUUAUGGACACUUUCAAGAAGUAUUGCACAAGUCUUUUUCAGCCAACACCACAGCUGACAAGACAUUUUAUUAGCUCUCCUCGAGUAGACCUAGUCCGCCAGGCCCUAGUCCAGGGCCAGACCAGAGACCUCCAUACGCUAGCUCUAGCUCCAUACCCUAGACCUAUAAUGAACUUAAAGGGUCAUCCCCCUCUUCCCUCGCUCUGGUAGCGACGCCAGGAAUGAAAGGGGCCGCUGGGAAAGUCAUAGGAAUCCUCAUGGUGGGGGACGGGGCCGCCAGGCGUUCUUUCAAUGCACCAAAUUCAGGGCCCCCACUCAUAACCAGGACUUAUGACAAUCUAACACUAACCCUUCCCCACAAGCAGUAGGGAGAAGACUAUUUCUUUGCCUUUACUUUUCAUUAUUUGAAAUCUGUUCCAAGUCCACAGCAAUAUGUAAUAUUGAGGUGUUCAUGUGCCAAAAAAAAAACACUACCCUUUCAUAUCAGAAGAACAUAGAAAGGAGGAAAUAGUGGUGAUGGAUGAGGUUGUCAAAAUCAUACCAGGCAAAUCAUACAGGCAUAAUGGUAAAACUUGCCAAACUUGGGUUACUUACAAAGUUGCGUUCACUUGUAUAGAAUGUAGACCUAGUAAUAUUCUUGAUAAUUUUGUGGCAUCUGAGGUAUAUAUCUACACUAUUUUUGGCUUAUAAAGCAAUGACAGAAGUAACUUCUAGAUGUGGUUUAUGGAGUGGUCUUUGGAUGCUCAGACAGUCUUGAGAUCUCAAACCAAGGCCUGAGGGUGGUGAACCCUUAAGAAUUGCUGCUAUUGUCCAUCAGUUUCUACCACACUUGCCACAAUGAUAUCAGCUUCUCCUUGGAAAUAUUUAUGACAUAAAUCUACUGUGUGUUCCAAUGAUAAAGAUUCCCAUACAAUCCCAGAGUUCUCAAUCAGGGAUUGUGAUUAAGAUAAUAUUUUAAUGUUCGUAAUAGAAAUCUGAGUUUA
Molecule: long non-coding RNA, 1865 nt
Organism: Lytechinus variegatus (green sea urchin)
Lineage: Eukaryota; Metazoa; Echinodermata; Echinoidea; Temnopleuroida; Toxopneustidae
Exons: 2
Source: RefSeq, a predicted model, not a curated record